Molecule: ribosomal RNA, 468 nt
Filed under: uncultured bacterium
Lineage: Bacteria
Description: partial 16S ribosomal RNA
Rfam family: Bacterial small subunit ribosomal RNA
Source: RNAcentral
GACGUACGCUGGCGGCGUGCUUAACACAUGCAAGUCGAACGGAAAGGCCCUGCUUUUGUGGGGUGCUCGAGUGGCGAACGGGUGAGUAACACGUGAGUAACCUGCCCUUGACUUUGGGAUAACUUCAGGAAACUGGGGCUAAUACCGGAUAGGAGCUCCUGCUGCAUGGUGGGGGUUGGAAAGUUUCGGCGGUUGGGGAUGGACUCGCGGCUUAUCAGCUUGUUGGUGGGGUAGUGGCUUACCAAGGCUUUGACGGGUAGCCGGCCUGAGAGGGUGACCGGCCACAUUGGGACUGAGAUACGGCCCAGACUCCUACGGGAGGCAGCAGUGGGGAAUAUUGCACAAUGGGCGGAGGCCUGAUGCAGCAACGCCGCGUGCGGGAUGACGGCCUUCGGGUUGUAAACCGCUUUCGCCUGUGACGAAGCGUGAGUGACGGUAAUGGGUAAAGAAGCACCGGCUAACUACGUG